RNAcentral lists this non-coding RNA (147 nucleotides) under Thiomonas bhubaneswarensis. RNAcentral describes it as "ZTP sequence". It matches the Rfam family "ZMP/ZTP riboswitch aptamer (pfl RNA motif)". From Rfam's summary of the family: Previously known as pfl RNA. The record is from Rfam by way of RNAcentral. Lineage: Bacteria; Pseudomonadati; Pseudomonadota; Betaproteobacteria; Burkholderiales.
UAUAGGCUGCACGACUGGCGAUAGAGACCUGCGACAUGCGUGGUCUCGAGGUGGGACGAACCACCGGGGAGUGCUGGAUUUCGAGCGCAGUGUUUCACUUUGCAGAAGAGUGAAACACCGCGCUAGCCGUUCGCCUGGGCCAGCGCC